Molecule: long non-coding RNA, 265 nt
Organism: Sinocyclocheilus grahami
Lineage: Eukaryota; Metazoa; Chordata; Actinopteri; Cypriniformes; Cyprinidae
Exons: 3
Source: RefSeq, a predicted model, not a curated record
UGAAGAUCCUAGAAGCUUCCCAACAUGAUGAACAAUCAAAACAACACAUGAAUCACACAAACCACAUGCUUAUGAUCCUCUACAUGAAAAUCAACCAUCGCUGCUCUGAAGAUGCAGCACCUUCAGUGAACUACAGCUGCUUAUAUGGAGCUUGCUGUUUGGCUUCAUCUGGAAGUAAAGAAGCAACUGGAGGACAUUGACAUUUUUCAGACCCAACAAACUGAAGAUUCUAGAAGCUUCUCAACAUGAUAAACAAUCAAAACAA